CUGUUGGUUGGCUGGCUGAAGUGAUCUGUAGAUGGGAACCAUUAGUAUUAAUCUAAUCAGAGAGAGAUUACAGAAGCUAUUACUGUUUAGUUAGUUAUUCUUCUGUUCAGAAUGAGAGGCCUAGAGUCUGACAGCUGGUAAAUUGUACCAACUGUAUUCAGAGUUUAAAGAUAACAUUCGAUAAUGGAAUCAAACGUUGACUUGUGACCUGGUGUUUUAUUACCACAAAGGGAUGCUCUGUUAAAAUGGAGAGAAUCACGGUGUUUGGAAAGUGCUCUUCUUGGGGGGGGGGGGUGUGCAUAUGUGUUUUUCAAGUUCUGUCUGCCCCAAGCUCAUCAGCCAGGCAGUAGUGAGCUGUUCUGUUUCCUUCUGAGUUGGGAAGCCAAAAGAGAGGCAAGCAUCUGACCAGGGAAAGGCCAGGUAUUCUCUGAUGCCUCGGACUUCAGUUUGCAGAGAUCCCUUUUAUAUGGGAGGAAAUGAUUUACAGCCCACGCGCCCUGAGUGUGUCCUGUGCUCCCAGAGGAGACAGCAGGGACGGCAAAGGCAAAGCUGUCAGCAUUCCUAUUAGGGACACUACGCUAAGGACACGUGUAAACAUGACGCGAAAUGUAAAUGGUCCUUGAUCUCUACAAACCAAGGUUGAAUGUAGAACCCAUGUCCUUCUGAGGAAAGACCUGUCAACUCCUUAGCAGGCGUCACUACUUCCUUCAGGCUUUCUGGCUUUUCAGAUCUUUUAUUCUUUUAAAAUUAUAACAGGGCUAUGAUGAGCCAAUUUGCCGCUGUUCUGUGUAAUUUGGGUUAUUCAUUCAGUGGGAUGUAGAAGAUGAGAACACAGUUAAAGUGGCAUAUUUAAACUUCAAAGAAAGAUCUCAAUUUGCAACAGUCCAUGUGCUCCUACUUACACUAGGCACAGAGCAUUCAAGAAGCAAUGGCUGUCUCUGACACAACCGUGGAUCCCAAAGAGGACACACAUGGAGGUUUCUCCUUCAACUUGCUGUGGCUCACCAGACGCCUCCCCUCCACUUCCAAGGUGAUGGACAGCGGUCCCCUUAUUCGGGGACUGCAAAGCAAAAGCACCACCAUCUUUUAGAGUUUGGGGUUUGGGGCCCAAGUUUGGCCCCCACGUCAAUUCGGUGUGUGCGGGGUGAUAAUCGUUCACAUAGGGCUGGAAUGCUGGAUGAUUAAAGAUAUUUAGGGAAUGAUCUGGUGACAGGAUUUCAUUUUAAUUCAGAGGGUAGCUUUAGAAUUCCACCAGCUGUUGCUGUCUCUCCUCGGAAGUGUUAAAGCGUUUUGUAUCGCAGCAGUGGCUCUGCCUUGCGUGGAGGCCUGCAGCCCUGCAGUCCAGGCUCUAGCAGCUGCAGUGUGCGGUCUGAAAUGCCUGCUGGUGUGUCAUGUUCUGCCAGUGAUGUGGCAGGCUAAAGAACCACCCACAUCGACUCUGCCUGCGCCUCAGAACCACGAACUGCUGCUGAAACAGGAGGCUCUUGGUCGUGCCACCAUCAGAAGGUGUUUGCAUCCUGAGGCUGCCUUCAAUGGGGAAGCUGGUCGUCAGGCUGAGACAGGAAAGAAAAGAAGGAAUGGAGAAGGAAGGAUGAGGACCUCCUUCACCUCAGGAUACUCUAUUAGAUGCGGAGACUGUAGCUGUGGCUUCUUGGCAGAAGAUCAGUAAUGAGGAGAUGGAGCAUCCGUACCUUCGAACCGUGUGAGAAGCAUGUUCUAACAGAAUAAACAAGCAAAGGGUGUAAAAAUAUAGCAGCAAGGAACCAGAGAAAGUCCUCUUCCCUUUCCCAGUACCUUUUACUUCUAUGGAGAGGGGGAAGGAAAAAGAGAAGAAAAAAAGAAAAAAGAAGAAACAGGAGGAAAACAAGAAGCACUGAAAGGUGAGGUGCCGGUCCUGCUUGAUGACAUGGAUAAGGCUGCCACACAGUGUAUGGAGAGAAGGUUUCAUCAGACAGCGCUCACUCGUGGGAUGCCGCAGAGUGUUUCAGCCAUUUCCCUGCACCAUGUGCUGCAAGUGGUACGUGUUGGCAGUUUUAUAUAGGGAAGGAGACCACAGGCAGCAACAGAUGACUUGGCACCAUUCCCAGCCUUUUCUGCCUUUCCCAAGGCACAUGCUUGAAAUGCUGGUUGUCCGGCUCCAGAGCUGGUAACAUAUCCCAUAAAAUCACCGCUUAAUCAGAAAGAUGAACACAAGAAGACCGAUUGAGACUAAAGAAACGGGGAAUCAUGGAUGCUCUUUGUGUGUUUCUCUACUUACCCACUUUUGGCAAAUAUCCCCUGAAAUUGUAUAUCUUUCAAGCCUUGCCCAGUUGCAUCAUGAUAGAGCAAUUCGUGUUGAGGAAUGAGGUUGAUACAAAAACAAAAAGAUGAGGUCCCUGGGCUUAAGAUGAGGUCACUGGGCUUGGGGAUUUUACAGUGUGGUAGGGAGAUAGACAGCAGUGCUGAUCUAUGCACGUAGCAGAUGCCAUUGAAGUACAGAAUGCUGUGGAAACAGAAGAGGGGGAGUAACUCAUUCUUCCUAGAAUAAGAGUUAACAUUCUCGGAGACCAUUAGGGAAGGAUGCACUGGAAUGAGACUUGCUAUUGCCUAAAAGAAUAAAAGACAAUUUAACAAACAUUCUAGGCAUAGGUACGCAACAUGUGCUCCUCAGAAGUUUAAAGAAUGGCAAACAGCAAUCGAGGAUCUUAGAAUACUUAACAGGUGGAAGGCUAGAAAAUGUAACCGUUGAAACCAAACAAGGACAUUUGGAAACUCAUUAGAAACUUGGAUUUAAAGAAGUGACAAAAUCGUUAUAGUAGAGGAUAGAUUGCAGAAAGGACAGGCUGAAGACAGAGAUCAUUUGCACACUUCUAGCAAAGUGUUAGGGAGAGAUGGCCAGUGCCUCAUCUUUCAACAAUGGCCUUCGGUUGCUGGGAAAACCCCCAUGACCUAGGAGACAACAGUGCUUGAACAUACUGCACAGACGGUGCAUUGAAUGAAGUGAAGGGACAGCAGACCACAGAAAGUUAUCAGACAGCAAUCACUAGAAAACUGUUCUUAAUGCAAUUCAACAUUUAAAACAUGGCUUCUCCAUUGUAGAAAUAAAGUUUAUCCAUAUAGCAAAUUCACUCCAUGAAUCUGCUUGCCUCACUUCAAUCAGCAGAGAAAUUCUCAUUUGAGAGUUUCCUGACUUCAAAGGUGACACAGGUUCAGGCGUUAGUCAUUCUGAAGGUGAUUUCUCUUAACUUCCGAGUCUUCCAUUAAACUUACUUUUUUUGUCCUAUGUUUAGUAUGCAGAUCAAUUGGGGGUUUCAUUUGUUUGUCUGUUUGAUUUAUUCUCCCUCCAUUUUUAGUCAGUCCUAUUCUUUAUCUUUUAACUGGAACAUUGUGCUUACAAAUCAACUCAUGAAGUUAUAAUAAAAGCCACAAUUAAGAUUG
Rattus norvegicus (Norway rat) is the source of this 3417-nucleotide non-coding RNA. Lineage: Eukaryota; Metazoa; Chordata; Mammalia; Rodentia; Muridae. The record is from RefSeq and is a predicted model, not a curated record.